GUCGAGCGGCAGCAGGUCCUUCGGGAUGCUGGCGAGCGGCGGACGGGUGAGUAACACGUGGGAAUCUGCCCAUCGGUGGGGGAUAGCCCGAGGAAACUCGGAUUAAUACCGCAUACGCCCUACGGGGCAAAGUAGACCUCUGAUUUAAGUUUACGCCGAUAGAUGAGCCCGCGGCCGAUUAGCUAGUUGGUGGGGUAAAGGCCUACCAAGGCAACGAUCGGUAGCUGGUCUGAGAGGACGAUCAGUCACACCGGAACUGAGACACGGUCCGGACUCCUACGGGAGGCAGCAGUGGGGAAUAUUGGACAAUGGGCGAAAGCCUGAUCCAGCAAUGCCGCGUGGGUGAAGAAGGCUUGAGGGUUGUAAAGCCCUUUCAGCAGGGAGGAAAAGCGUACGGUUAAUACCCGGGCGUCUUGACGUUACCUGCAGAAGAAGCACCGGCUAACUCCGUGCCAGC
This 457-nucleotide ribosomal RNA is filed under the name uncultured bacterium. RNAcentral's name for it is "bacterial SSU rRNA". It matches the Rfam family "Bacterial small subunit ribosomal RNA", at positions 61 to 512 of the family's 1533-position model. The record is from RNAcentral.